GACAGUGUUUCAUCCCAUGUUUCAGCAGAUGUCUUGGUUUACCUGCUACAGAGUCAUCUCUUUGUCCUCUCUGUGAGAGGGAAGAGUCAUCUGCCUCCCGUGGUCUGCCAAUGCACAGACCACCAUGGGAAGUGAGGGAGCGAAAAAGAAAGAGGAAGAAAAAGAUAACUGCAGAGAUUGGACAGUCGGGAGCUUUUGAAGAGAAGAAAGACAGAAUUCUGCCCCAAGAACAGCGAUAACGGACAUGGGGUCCCACUGGGGGAUGGGCCGGAGGGGUAUAUACAGUAUGAAAUAUGAAAGAAGAAGACAGUUUUAUCUGUUUGCAGAACAUGUGGACAGUGUAGACUGUUGUCCUUUCACCUGGAGCCAAAGCUCAUGAACUACAUGGUUGAGAGUGUUGGGAAAUCUGCAUCCUGCUUUACGGUUGGCAAACUUCUGUUAACUGAAUACAUCAGUUAAGAAUCUGAGGCUUUUUCAGGCAAUUUGUGGAGGUUCUUUGUAUGGGAAAGGUAUAUGCACCAGUUCUAAACAGAAAUGAGAGAGAAUCAGAGAUGAUCAAUAGAUGGAUGAAUGAAUAGGUGAAGUGAGUCAGUGUACAGCUAUUCACUGUCCCUGUGCCCGUUUUGUCCUCUCUGUGCUAUUUGGAUAAAAUCUCUUUUAUCUCUGCUGGUGCCAGCCUCUGAUGCAUAAACACUCCAGACUGACUCCUUUUGCUUUGAUAGAGGGACAGAAAAA
Sinocyclocheilus grahami is the source of this 735-nucleotide long non-coding RNA. RefSeq lists it as uncharacterized. The record is from RefSeq and is a predicted model, not a curated record. NCBI's taxonomy places the organism in Eukaryota, Metazoa, Chordata, Actinopteri, Cypriniformes, Cyprinidae. The transcript is spliced from 3 exons.